AAUCAAAGUUCAUGGAAAAUUUUAAAAAAAAUUUUGUAUCAGAAGACACGAUCAACAGAGUAAAAAGACGGCUACUACAAUGGGAGAACAUAUUUGCAAAUCCAAUAUCUGAUAAGGGAGUCCUGUAAAACGACCCAGUUAAAAAACAAAGGACUCGAACAGACCUGUGUCCAGGGCAGACACACAGACAUCCCACAGCACAUGAGAAGACGCCCCACCACUCAUCAGUAGCGCAAGGCAGACCACACCCACUAAGAUACCACCGCACCCCCAUUAGGAGGGCCGCUCGAAAAAGUAAGUGUGGGCCCCGGAGGGAGCCUGGUUCUUUAUCCGUUCGCUUCUGACAUGUCCCGUCACUCUGAGCCUCUUGUACUGUCCGUACACGGAGAUCUCAGGCUUAUCUGCUGCCUCCCCUGCCCACGCCCUAGUGUCCGUGUCUCUCCAGGGAGGCCGGUUCCGUAGGUUGGGGACGGGCAUCUGGAAACCAAACCUGGGUUUCAGCAGGGUCUGAGCCCUGCCCUUCACGGCCGCAUGCCCCGGGCUCCACCCCAGCCCUGCCUGCUGCCGCUUCUUGAUGGACUGCUGAGCGAGGGUCCUGAUGGACUGCUGAGCGAGGGAAGGACAUGAGGAGGGUCUGUUCAUUCCUUCUUGUAUUUUGGCUUCACAUGCUUUUUUGAAAACGUCACCGAGCCGUCCACAGGCUCAAGCUGUGUGUGUCAUUCCUAGGAACUGUUCCUUUGCUACGACUGACGCAUUCAUGAUCCCCGGGACCUUGCGGACUUCUCCCAGAGCCGGCCGGUCUGAUGUGCGGGAGCCGCAGCCUCCGCUCACGUCUGAUUUGCAGGCAUCUCCAGUCCCAGAGAGAAGCAUCAGGAUUUCAGAGGGCCCAGGGCCCAGCCGGGGCGGCGAUCGGCCUCAGAGUAGGGCUGCCUUUACCUUUGUGGGGGCGGGGGUCUCUCGGACAAUAAACAUAAAGAAAAAAUCUCGUUACCGCCCAACCGGAGAUGUGAGUCUUACCGUCCUCGCUCGGUGCUGGCGCCCAUCACAGGGGCUGAGCGCGGGAUUUGCAGCCUCUUGUCUGGGACCUAGUCUGACCUCUGACCCCCGCGCCUUUGGCGAGGCUCCCCGGGAAAACAGAAUAUUGCUCUCGGUUACAUCUUCUGCCUAAACAGACUCUACAAGCCGUUCUGCAUCCACUUCACCCAAUGUAGCAUGACCUUUUUUCUCUUUGUUUUUAAGAUCGGUUUAUUCGAGAGAGAGAGAGCCCACGUGGGAGGGACAGAGGGAGAGGGAGAAGCAGGCUCCCCGCUGAGCACAGAGCCCAACCUUGAGACCUUGACCUAAGCCGAAACCAAGGAUGGACACUUAAGUGGCGGUGCCACCCAGGCGCCCCCUCCGGCGUUACGUAAUGAACACUUUUCAGUGACACGAAAUGCCCUUGAAACACACAUCAACUGCUUUGGCCAUGGUGGUCCCCACCUUCCUCAGAGCUGCCCGAAAACUCCAACCUCCCCCGAACGUCUUGGAAGGCGGAGGGGCCCCGCUGUCCCACCGCUGGAAAGACCAAACAUGACACUUUCCGUGAGCUCUUAGGCUCAGAAUGCAGCCGUGGCCUCACGUGGAGAAUCCCGUGGUGGUACACCGUCG
This is a long non-coding RNA of Mustela putorius furo (domestic ferret), 1647 nucleotides long. The record is from Ensembl. Lineage: Eukaryota; Metazoa; Chordata; Mammalia; Carnivora; Mustelidae.